UUACAAUGAAGAGUUUGAUCCUGGCUCAGGAUGAACGCUAGCUACAGGCUUAACACAUGCAAGUCGAGGGGCAUCAGGAAGAAAGCUUGCUUUCUUUGCUGGCGACCGGCGCACGGGUGAGUAACACGUAUCCAACCUGCCCUUUACUCGGGGAUAGCCUUUCGAAAGAAAGAUUAAUACCCGAUGGCAUAAUGAUUCCGCAUGGUUUCAUUAUUAAAGGAUUCCGGUAAAGGAUGGGGAUGCGUUCCAUUAGGUUGUUGGUGAGGUAACGGCUCACCAAGCCUUCGAUGGAUAGGGGUUCUGAGAGGAAGGUCCCCCACAUUGGAACUGAGACACGGUCCAAACUCCUACGGGAGGCAGCAGUGAGGAAUAUUGGUCAAUGGGCGCUAGCCUGAACCAGCCAAGUAGCGUGAAGGAUGAAGGCUCUAUGGGUCGUAAACUUCUUUUAUAUAAGAAUAAAGUGCAGUAUGUAUACUGUUUUGUAUGUAUUAUAUGAAUAAGGAUCGGCUAACUCCGUGCCAGCAGCCGCGGUAAUACGGAGGAUCCGAGCGUUAUCCGGAUUUAUUGGGUUUAAAGGGAGCGUAGGUGGACUGGUAAGUCAGUUGUGAAAGUUUGCGGCUCAACCGUAAAAUUGCAGUUGAUACUGUCAGUCUUGAGUACAGUAGAGGUGGGCGGAAUUCGUGGUGUAGCGGUGAAAUGCUUAGAUAUCACGAAGAACUCCGAUUGCGAAGGCAGCUCACUGGACUGCAACUGACACUGAUGCUCGAAAGUGUGGGUAUCAAACAGGAUUAGAUACCCUGGUAGUCCACACAGUAAACGAUGAAUACUCGCUGUUUGCGAUAUACAGUAAGCGGCCAAGCGAAAGCAUUAAGUAUUCCACCUGGGGAGUACGCCGGCAACGGUGAAACUCAAAGGAAUUGACGGGGGCCCGCACAAGCGGAGGAACAUGUGGUUUAAUUCGAUGAUACGCGAGGAACCUUACCCGGGCUUAAAUUGCAGUGGAAUGAUGUGGAAACAUGUCAGUGAGCAAUCACCGCUGUGAAGGUGCUGCAUGGUUGUCGUCAGCUCGUGCCGUGAGGUGUCGGCUUAAGUGCCAUAACGAGCGCAACCCUUAUCUUCAGUUACUAACAGGUCAUGCUGAGGACUCUGGAGAGACUGCCGUCGUAAGAUGUGAGGAAGGUGGGGAUGACGUCAAAUCAGCACGGCCCUUACGUCCGGGGCUACACACGUGUUACAAUGGGGGGUACAGAAGGCAGCUAGCGGGUGACCGUAUGCUAAUCCCAAAAUCCUCUCUCAGUUCGGAUCGAAGUCUGCAACCCGACUUCGUGAAGCUGGAUUCGCUAGUAAUCGCGCAUCAGCCACGGCGCGGUGAAUACGUUCCCGGGCCUUGUACACACCGCCCGUCAAGCCAUGGGAGCCGGGGGUACCUGAAGUACGUAACCGCAAGGAUCGUCCUAGGGUAAAACUGGUGACUGGGGCUAAGUCGUAACAAGGUAGCCGUACCGGAAGGUGCGGCUGGAACACCUCCUUUCU
This 1533-nucleotide ribosomal RNA is filed under the name Bacteroides fragilis 638R. Its description in RNAcentral is "bacterial SSU rRNA". It matches the Rfam family "Bacterial small subunit ribosomal RNA". The record is from RNAcentral. Lineage: Bacteria; Pseudomonadati; Bacteroidota; Bacteroidia; Bacteroidales; Bacteroidaceae.